Molecule: ribosomal RNA, 843 nt
Filed under: uncultured bacterium
Lineage: Bacteria
Description: partial 16S ribosomal RNA
Source: RNAcentral
UUUAAUCUUGCGACCGUACUCCCCAGGCGGAAUGCUUAAUCCGUUAGGUGUGACACCAACAAGCAUGCUUGCUGACGUCUGGCAUUCAUCGUUUACGGUGUGGACUACCAGGGUAUCUAAUCCUGUUUGCUCCCCACACUUUCGCACCUCAGCGUCAGUAUCGAGCCAGUAAGCCGCCUUCGCCACUGGUGUUCCUCCAAAUAUCUACGAAUUUCACCUCUACACUUGGAAUUCCACUUACCUCUCUCGAACUCAAGACUAGCAGUAUUAAAGGCAGUUCCAGGGUUGAGCCCUGGGAUUUCACCUCUAACUUACUAAUCCGCCUACGUGCGCUUUACGCCCAGUAAUUCCGAACAACGCUAACCCCCUCCGUAUUACCGCGGCUGCUGGCACGGAGUUAGCCGGGGUUUCUUUACCAGAUACUGUCAUUAUCAUCUCUGGCGAAAGUGCUUUACGACCCUAAGGCCUUCAUCACACACGCGGCAUGGCUAGAUCAGGGUUUCCCCCAUUGUCUAAGAUUCCCUACUGCUGCCUCCCGUAGGAGUCUGGGCCGUGUCUCAGUCCCAGUGUGGCUGAUCAUCCUCUCAAACCAGCUAUAGAUCGUAGGCUUGGUAGGCCAUUACCCCACCAACUACCUAAUCUAACGCGGGCUAAUCCUUCUCCGAUAAAUCUUUCCCCCGAAGGGCGUAUAAGGUAUUACUCUCCGUUUCCAGAGGCUAUUCCUUAGAGAAGGGCAUAUUCCCACGCGUUACUCACCCGUCCGCCGCUCAUCCCGAAGGAUGCGCUCGACUUGCAUGUAUUAGGCCUGCCGCCAGUGUUCGUUCUGAGCCAGGAUCAAACUCU